AAGACUAUACUUUCCGGGAUCAUUUCUAUAGUUUGUUACUAGAAGGGAACAGAUAACCUGGUCAACAAUAAUGCUAACAUUUAAUGU
Non-coding RNA from Myotis lucifugus (little brown bat), 87 nucleotides. The record is from Rfam. NCBI's taxonomy places the organism in Eukaryota, Metazoa, Chordata, Mammalia, Chiroptera, Vespertilionidae.